GAAAACGUAGCAUGCCCAGCCAAGGCGACUGCUGGCCCUUCACGAUGCAGCUGGCCAAAAGAAGAGAUUCUGAUUCAUUUCCUUCAUCGUUGGAGUUUUGCCUUAACUCCCAUGUUUUUCCAGUGGAUGCAUAUGAAUCUACAGAAUAGCUAGAAAUCUUUUCAUCAACAAUUUACUUUCAACAAAUCAUCAGACACAAACCGCAAAAACACCAAAGAAGCAGUGAAUGAUGAUUUUAAUCAGUGAUCCAAGCCUUAGAAAGGU
This is a long non-coding RNA of Crotalus tigris (Tiger rattlesnake), 264 nucleotides long. RefSeq lists it as uncharacterized. The record is from RefSeq and is a predicted model, not a curated record. The transcript is spliced from 3 exons. NCBI's taxonomy places the organism in Eukaryota, Metazoa, Chordata, Lepidosauria, Squamata, Viperidae.